Molecule: ribosomal RNA, 124 nt
Filed under: Malassezia sp.
Lineage: Eukaryota; Fungi; Basidiomycota; Malasseziomycetes; Malasseziales; Malasseziaceae
Description: partial small subunit ribosomal RNA
Rfam family: Eukaryotic small subunit ribosomal RNA
Source: RNAcentral
CCUUUGUACACACCGCCCGUCGCUACUACCGAUUGAAUGGCUUAGUGAGCCUUUGGGACUGGCAGCCAACGCCGGCAACGGCAGCUGGCCGCUGGAAACUUAUGCAAACUUGGUCAUUUAGAGG